AUCCAGCAGGUGAGUCCCAAAUAGGACGAAACACGCGUCAAACUGGAU
Molecule: non-coding RNA, 48 nt
Organism: Schistosoma mansoni
Lineage: Eukaryota; Metazoa; Platyhelminthes; Trematoda; Strigeidida; Schistosomatidae
Source: Rfam